This 1200-nucleotide long non-coding RNA is filed under the name Homo sapiens (human). RNAcentral's name for it is "non-protein coding lnc-TENM4-4:6". Lineage: Eukaryota; Metazoa; Chordata; Mammalia; Primates; Hominidae. The record is from RNAcentral.
GAAAAAGUGAAGCUUUAGCAGCAAGUAGAAAAACUGAAGCAUCAGUUGCAGUAACUCAUCCAUUGAGUGAAAAGGUUCUUCCCAUGUCCCUACUCUCAGAAAUGCAUUCUGAAAUUUCGAAGAAACAAGACAUUACACAAGUACAUGGCUUCACUACCAAGGGGAAGGGCAAAAGACCAUCUUUGAUUUAAUUCCAGGCUUCAGUGUCUAAUUCUGUGGCAAAGAUAGCUCAUGAAUUCUUUGUUCCUCUGCCAAGCGCAACAGGGAUAAGUAGCCUUGCUCUGGGAAUAUGAGUUUGAUGAUUGGGUUGCAUGAACCCUGGAAGCCUGGAAUAUUCAUCUAUUUUCACAUUCUUCUGUCCCUCCUGACUGCAGCACUCCCCAAACCUACAUGGAAGAGCUAAAAUCAAUUCUGGUAAAUCUCAUCAACUUCUAGGACACUGUGGUAGAUUUCCUUCAGUUUAAUCUCUAGCAUUAACUGGAAGAAACAUUUUCUUACUCAGUCACUACAUUUGUCAAGAAAUAAUGCUAUGGUUGAACACUGCACGAAAUGAUAGAGAUUAACAGUAGCACAAUACUAGACAUUUCUUUUUUGCUAUUCUACUUAAUGCCUGAUGUAACCUCAUGAGGUGGAUGUUGUACUCCUGACUUUAGAGAUAAGAAAACUGAACUUUUGGGAGGCUAAAUAACUUACUUACAGUUACAUAGUCAAGAAAUGGAGAUGGCAAGAGUUCAGGCCUAGGUUUGUCUGAUUGCAAAUACUACAUCCUUUCUAUUGCUUCACUUUGUUUGGCUUUAAAGCUGUUAAAUGAGAAUGACCAUAAUACCCCAGAGAACUUCUGUGAGGAUUAAAUGGAUAUGCAAAAGCUCUCGACAUAAUACCUGGCUCAAGGUAAAGUUUGGCUGAGACAGCCCUUCUUGGAUCCACCAGACAUCUGGGGAGGCAUUCAACUGGGACCUGCAGGAUUCGCUUUCAAUGUGGCUCACCCACAUGGCCAGGAGUGCAGACCAGGACCAGCUGUUUCUCUCCACAUGGGUUUCUUCAAGGACUUCUUGGGCUUCUUCAGAGCAUGCCAGCUGGAUUUCGUGAUAUCAAGAGGAGUGUAGCACACACAUGUUACAGCUGAAAAUGAUGCGCUGUGAUGUCAAGCACUUUCCCAAGGAGAUGCAGCUAAUAGUUGCCAGAGCCAUAAUGAUAUUA